GUAUUUACAUAUAUAUUUCCAUUUAUGGGUAUAUUAUUAGCAUU
Molecule: small RNA, 44 nt
Filed under: uncultured marine Prymnesiales
Lineage: Eukaryota; Haptophyta; Prymnesiales
Description: partial Mitochondrion-encoded tmRNA
Source: RNAcentral